Long non-coding RNA from Topomyia yanbarensis, 2235 nucleotides. RefSeq lists it as uncharacterized. Lineage: Eukaryota; Metazoa; Arthropoda; Insecta; Diptera; Culicidae. The transcript is spliced from 3 exons. The record is from RefSeq and is a predicted model, not a curated record.
AAGCCGUAUGAAUAAAAAUGAGCAUUUGCUCAAGACAAGUUUGCUCUGCUCGAUUCUGAGCAAAGUAAACUCUUGUAGCAUUUGCUCAACUUGGUAUGAAUAAAACUUUACUUUACUCAGCUUAGACUGUAGCAUGUUCGAAAUUCGAACAUAGCUUUUGCUCCGUCAAUAUUUUGUCAACAAAUGUUAAUUUCUCCAAGAAGAAAACUUACAAAUUAUUGAUUCAAUACAACACGGCCGUGAUAAAAUUUUGUAAGCUACUACACCUAGCUCAAGUCUGUGAGGUGCCGCUAGCAGAUGAAAAAACACCCUAAAAGAAAAGAACGGAGUUUUGACCAAGACAUGCCAGGCGAAAAAAGUAACCGGAUAUAACAACAUUAAAAUCUAUUUAGAAAUUCUUAAAAUUCGGAUGGUCAACAUAUCAACAAUUGGUAAUAUUUGUGAAAAAUAACAUUGAAAAGAACUGCACCAGUACAGUAUAGUAAUACUACAAACGUGAUGAAUGACACCAAUCACCAGUACCGUCAACAACAUCGUAAAUCUAGCAGCCGCAACUAGUGUAAACAUAAUCAAAUUAUGUUCCCUGAUUUUUAUAUGUACGAAUCGUUCAUGUUCGGUGUCUACAAUAAAUGGAACGAUGCCGGGGAUCAGCCCUGUUACGAUAAUGCUGUUCAAAACAAAAACAAUCUGCAGUUUCUAAUGAUCGCAAGUGAAACGAUGCAAUUUGCUACUACCUGUGUACACUUUACGGUGUUUCGAAGCAUGGAGCAGAUACUGCCAACCGGAUUGUGCAUCUUGUUAAAAUUUUGAAUAGUUAUAUUUGAUCAAUACCAUAGUUCAGCCGUUUCAUCGUUAAACUCAAUCAACUAUGGAUGAAUCAACCAAAGUACCAGUUAUUACUCACUGUAAAUCGAUACGAAAUUUCUUGCGGUUGUACUGGAUAGUUCUUUGCGGAACAUAUAGUUUCUCAUAUUCCUUCAUAGUGAGAUUGUAAUAUGUCGGUACAGCUUUUUUAUUAGUUUCAUAACUUUUACACGACACAUUCCGGUUGACAUUGCUAGUUGUCGUUCUUGGACAAGGACUAAUUCAUGUCGUAAACGCGUUGAUUGAGUACCUUUAACAAUGUUCAGAAGUAUUCAAUAGAAACAGCAUCUUUGUCGCAGACCGAACCGACCCAAUGUUACAGCAGAGGACGAACAGGGAUAUACAAUCGGAUGUUGAUAGCUGUUAUGAGGAAGAACGUCAGGUGAAGAAAACAACUCCGGUGCACAACAGCUCCAAUUUUUAUCGUACAAGCGCACAUUGCAUUUCCCUUAAUUUAACAAUGUUCACUGUAGCUAUCUUUGUGAUGGAACACAACCAUUCAUUAUUUAUCAUUAAGAUAUGUGCGUUCCUAAAAGUAACUGGCGCUCUGAUGCAUAGCGGUAAUGUUCCAUUCCCCGAUUAUGUAAAGUAGCGCGGAUAUUAUAACUGCUGAUUGUGCAUUGGCAUUUAACAUUAGUAAAAUUGAACGGAAAGGCGGCAGCUAAUGAGAUGACGGAAAGAAGAUAUUUGAAAUUUUUCAUGGAAACUAGUAAUAUGUUAACUCGAUAAGCACGAUUAUACUGGUGUGUUAGAGUGUAUGAGUAUUAGAUUAGCAUAAUUAUUGUUCAUUUUUGAGAAUAGUAUAGUUUAAAGUUAAAUCAAUCAGUGUUUUAAAUUAUUAAAAACAAACCUGUUUUAAUCCACCUAGUGGUGCAAUUGUGCCUUUCUCAUUUGUCCAAACGACGAUUCCAUGGCUGGUUAUUUUCAAUAUAAUGGUGGAAAUGUAUAUUAAAGUAGCUAAUACCCAUCGCGCGUUGCUGCGACUUUCAGCGAAAUAGGUGGAAAACACAAUUUAUUCCGAAGCGCCACCUGGCGGGCAGAUAAUCCCCAACCAAUAGCACACAAACACGCUCCAUAACAAAUGCCUACUAUGUAUAAAUUUUGAUGGCAAUCGAUUAAGUCGUUUCGGAGUCCAUAAAUCAUAUACAUACAAACAUUGACAUUUAUAUACACAGAAAUUCAUAUACAUAAUCUGAAUCGCCAACCACCAACUUGAGAUGCUAUGUGUCGACGCUGUUUCAACUUGAAACCAGAUGCGGACCCAAAAGGAAGGUCCAGGGGAUCCGGACCCCGCCGAAAAUUUCCAACUUGUUAAGAAAUUUUAAACUAGUUUAAAUUUUAAUGUAAUUUAAGACUCAAAAUCAUUUCAAA